CGGACGGGUGAGUAAUGUCUGGGAAACUGCCCGAUGGAGGGGGAUAACUACUGGAAACGGUAGCUAAUACCGCAUAACGUCGCAAGACCAAAGAGGGGGACCUUAGGGCCUCUUGCCAUCGGAUGUGCCCAGAUGGGAUUAGCUAGUAGGUGGGGUAAUGGCUCACCUAGGCGACGAUCCCUAGCUGGUCUGAGAGGAUGACCAGCCACACUGGAACCGAGACACGGUCCAG
RNAcentral lists this ribosomal RNA (232 nucleotides) under uncultured bacterium. RNAcentral's name for it is "partial 16S ribosomal RNA". It matches the Rfam family "Bacterial small subunit ribosomal RNA", at positions 99 to 334 of the family's 1533-position model. The record is from RNAcentral.